This 1827-nucleotide ribosomal RNA is filed under the name Triticum aestivum (bread wheat). Its description in RNAcentral is "partial small subunit ribosomal RNA". Lineage: Eukaryota; Viridiplantae; Streptophyta; Magnoliopsida; Poales; Poaceae. The record is from RNAcentral.
AUGUCAGGAUCACUGAAUUCAAAUAUUGGUGGGGAUUCAACAGGAAGGCCAUUCACAUCAACCUUUUCUGGUCAGUCUGGAUCAUUUCCUAAUUUCCAUCACUCUGGCUUGCAUAAUAUCCACGGAAAUCUCAAUCUUGCAUCACUAUCGCCAAGGAAUGCUUCAUUGUCAGGUAUUCCAUCCCCAGGUGUUCAACAACCUGGCGGCAAUAUUUCUGGUAGCCGGUUUCCCUCAAAUAACCUUCCAGUGUCCAUGUCUCAGAUUUCUCAUGGCCAUUCUGGGAUCAGCAACAGAGGAGGUAUGAAUCUUGGGGGGAAUGCUGUAUUUAGUAGUAGCAUGAAUGCUAUUGGUGGUUCAGCACAAGGUUUAUCCUCAAGCAUGGCUAAUGUUGGUAAUCGAAAUUCUGCUCCUGGGUUGACAGCUUCUUCAGUUUUGGGGAACUUAGGCCCACGGAUAGCAAAUUCUGGGGGCAAUAUAGUGGGUGGCAGCAGUAUUGGCAGAAGCAUAAGCUCAGCAGGAAUGUCCAUGCCUGGUAUUGCAUCUCGUAUCAAUUCGAGCGGCAACUCUGGAAGUGGGGCUCUUAAUAUCCCAUCCAAUCGACUGAGUGCGUCGCCACAGUUCAUGAACAUUCUUGGGAGUUCUUAUCCAACACCUGGAGGAACGCUAUCUCAGAACCAAGUUCAGGCAGGAAGCAAUUCUUUUAGUUCUUCUGGAAUGCUACAUGAAGGAAACUCUGGUGACAAUUCUCCGUUUGACAUAAAUGAUUUUCCCCAGUUAACUGGGCGUCCUAAUUCUGCUGGAGGUGGUCAAGGGCAAUAUGGGUCACUGCGAAAGCAAGGCGUAAGUGUAAAUGCUAUUGUGCAACAAAACCAGGAGUUCAGCAUUCAGAAUGAAGAUUUUCCAGCUUUACCAGGAUAUAAAGGCAAUUCGUCAGAUUAUGGUAUGGAUUUGCAUCACAAGGACCACCUUCAUGAGAAUGCAAAUAUUAUGCAGGCACAACAUUUUCCUAUGGGUAGAUCAUCUGGCUUUAAUUUGGGAGGUAGCUAUCCACCCCGCCAACAACAGCAGCAGAGCACUACUUCGGUUCAAAAUGGUCUUGAUAAUAUUGGGCUAAGGCCGAUAAAUUCUCCAAGUCCGUCUUCUAAUUCGGGGUCUUAUGAGCAACUCAUCCAGCAAUACCAUCAACCGCAGACUCAGAAUUCACUUAGGUCGCAGACGUCUUCGGGCCAACAGUCAUCCAAGGAUCAGAGUCAAAAGUCUGCUCAGGGAAAAGAAACUGUGCCAGACCCAUAUAGUUUACUUGGAUUGUUGAACUUAAUAAAAUCGAAAGAGCCUGGACCAACAGCUCUUGCUUUAGGGCUUGAUUUAACUACACUAGGGUUGAAUUUGAACUCCCCAGAUUGUCUUUGGAAGACAUUUGGCUCUCCAUGGUCAAAUGAGCCAGCUAAAGGAGAACCUGAUUAUCAGAUCCCUGCUUGUUACUCUGCUGAGCAACCUCCACCACUGCAGCCAUUCAAUUUUCCAAAGUUUCACCCCUUGACACUAUUCUACAUCUUCUACAGUAUGCCGAAGGAUGUUGCUCAGUUAUAUGCCGCGAAUGAACUAUAUAACAAAGGGUGGUUUUACCACAGAGAGUAUCGUGUGUGGCUCACACGAGCUUCAAAUGUGGCGCCUCUUGUGAAAACUCCACUGUAUGAACGAGGAUCCUACAUUUGUUUUGAUCCCAACCUGUGGGAUACAAUUCAGAAGGACAACUUUGUGCUCCAAUAUGAAUCUGUAGAGAAGAGACCUGUCCUACCUUCCACCAGCCAAAACGUUAGAUUAUAA